AGAGUUUGAUCCUGGCUCAGGACGAACGCUGGCGGCGUGCCUAAUACAUGCAAGUCGAGCGGAUCUUGUCCUUCGGGGCAAGGUUAGCGGCGGACGGGUGAGUAACACGUAGGCAACCUGCCCUCAAGACUGGGAUAACCUCCGGAAACGGAUGCUAAUACCGGAUAUGCGGCCUCUCCACCUGGAGAGACCGGGAAAGACGGCGCAAGCUGUCACUUGAGGAUGGGCCUGCGGCGCAUUAGCUAGUUGGUGAGGUAACGGCUCACCAAGGCGACGAUGCGUAGCCGACCUGAGAGGGUGAUCGGCCACACUGGGACUGAGACACGGCCCAGACUCCUACGGGAGGCAGCAGUAGGGAAUCUUCCGCAAUGGACGCAAGUCUGACGGAGCAACGCCGCGUGAGUGAGGAAGGCCUUCGGGUCGUAAAGCUCUGUUGCCAGGGAAGAACGGGUGAAAGAGUAACUGCUUUUGCCAUGACGGUACCUGAGAAGAAAGCCCCGGCUAACUACGUGCCAGCAGCCGCGGUAAUACGUAGGGGGCAAGCGUUGUCCGGAAUUAUUGGGCGUAAAGCGCGCGCAGGCGGCUUUGUAAGUCCGGUGUUUAAUCUUGGGGCUCAACCCCAAGUCGCACGGGAAACUGCAAGGCUUGAGUGCAGAAGAGGAAAGUGGAAUUCCACGUGUAGCGGUGAAAUGCGUAGAGAUGUGGAGGAACACCAGUGGCGAAGGCGACUUUCUGGGCUGUAACUGACGCUGAGGCGCGAAAGCGUGGGGAGCAAACAGGAUUAGAUACCCCAGUAGUCC
Molecule: ribosomal RNA, 800 nt
Filed under: uncultured bacterium
Lineage: Bacteria
Description: bacterial SSU rRNA
Rfam family: Bacterial small subunit ribosomal RNA
Source: RNAcentral